RNAcentral lists this ribosomal RNA (386 nucleotides) under Staphylococcus aureus. RNAcentral describes it as "partial 23S ribosomal RNA". It matches the Rfam family "Bacterial large subunit ribosomal RNA", at positions 1290 to 1672 of the family's 2925-position model. Lineage: Bacteria; Bacillati; Bacillota; Bacilli; Caryophanales; Staphylococcaceae. The record is from RNAcentral.
GAGAAUGCCGGUGUGAGUAGCGAAAGACGGGUGAGAAUCCCGUCCACCGAUUGACUAAGGUUUCCAGAGGAAGGCUCGUCCGCUCUGGGUUAGUCGGGUCCUAAGCUGAGGCCGACAGGCGUAGGCGAUGGAUAACAGGUUGAUAUUCCUGUACCACCUAUAAUCGUUUUAAUCGAUGGGGGGACGCAGUAGGAUAGGCGAAGCGUGCGAUUGGAUUGCACGUCUAAGCAGUAAGGCUGAGUAUUAGGCAAAUCCGGUACUCGUUAAGGCUGAGCUGUGAUGGGGAGAAGACAUUGUGUCUUCGAGUCGUUGAUUUCACACUGCCGAGAAAAGCCUCUAGAUAGAAAAUAGGUGCCCGUACCGCAAACCGACACAGGUAGUCAAGA